Molecule: ribosomal RNA, 253 nt
Filed under: uncultured bacterium
Lineage: Bacteria
Description: partial 16S ribosomal RNA
Rfam family: Bacterial small subunit ribosomal RNA
Source: RNAcentral
UACAGAGGGUGCGAGCGUUGUCCGGAAUCACUGGGCGUAAAGGGCGCGUAGGUGGCGGCCCAAGUCCGUGGUGAAAGCUCGCCGCUUAACGGCGAGUCGGCCACGGAGACUGGGUGGCUCGAGCACUGUAGGGGCAGAUGGAAUUCCGGGUGUAGCGGUGGAAUGCGUAGAGAUCCGGAAGAACACCUGCGGCGAAGGCGGGUUGCUGGGCUGAUACUGACGCUGAGGCGCGAAAGCCAGGGGAGCGAACGGG